Molecule: ribosomal RNA, 243 nt
Filed under: uncultured bacterium
Lineage: Bacteria
Description: partial 16S ribosomal RNA
Rfam family: Bacterial small subunit ribosomal RNA
Source: RNAcentral
CACGCUGUAAACGAUGAGUGCUAGGUGUCGGGGGGGAACCCUCGGUGCCGCAGCUAACGCAAUAAGCACUCCACCUGGGGAGUACGAUCGCAAGAUUGAAACUCAAAGGAAUUGACGGGGGCCCGCACAAGCGGUGGAGUAUGUGGUUUAAUUCGAAGCAACGCGAAAAACCUUACCAAGGCUUGACAUCCCUUCGACGAGUACAGAGAUGUGCUUUCCCUUCGGGGCGGAGGUGACAGGUGG